RNAcentral lists this long non-coding RNA (2312 nucleotides) under Gossypium raimondii (Peruvian cotton). RNAcentral describes it as "long non-coding RNA (GRAI_LNC008795)". The record is from RNAcentral. Lineage: Eukaryota; Viridiplantae; Streptophyta; Magnoliopsida; Malvales; Malvaceae.
AGCAAUGGCCUUUGUAAGAGUUUUCCGGCAGCUUCCGAACCGAGGCUCGAAAUCUAUCCCUACUGUCCAUAAGAAGGAUUCCACCAAUCUAUUCCUGGCAAACCUCAGUAUCUCCCCAAGACCAGUGUUCUUCCACCACCUUUGCAGGUAAAUUGAAGGGCAUGAAAACCAAUUACAUAAUUUUAUGUUUCAUUUAUGUCGAUAUAUAGGUAUACCUUGACAGAUCUUUGAGUUCUUCUUGAUGCAGUGCUUGUAAAAUGUUGAAGUCCAACUUUGCUAGCUGUAAUACAAUGGGGUUCAAAUCCGCUUGUCUUUCAUAUACAUCGAUGUACCACCUUGCUUCAAGCCUCCGCAUUCUCCAGUGUAAUGGAAGCUCCAUGGCAUGCUUGACUUGAAUGGUAAGAAUAGGAUCCACAUGAUCACCUUCCACAUAUCUGAGUUUUUAGAUGUAAACUCCCAAGCUGCUUCCAUUAUGCUUUCUCCUUCAAAACAAUAGUGUGAAGCUUCAUACAAGCUCAUCAUUGCCUUGACAUCAUUACACAAAGAUAGCAUGACCUCGCCUGCCUUAUCCCGAAAACCGUCGAAAACGAGCAAAACCAGUUAUUACAAACACCCCCCAAACAAGAAUUAUAAAACAUUUAGUACCUGAGGAAGAAUGAUAUCCAUGUUGUCUCAGGAGCCUAAAUUCCAAAGCAGUCGCAUAUAAAUUACCCUUUUUCAUUUGAUCGUUGCUGUUCUUAUACACAUUCAGUAAAAUGUUAUUAAUCUCAUCGUCAAAAUGAUAUGAUAAGUGUGAGCAAAACUCGAUUCAACUUGAAAAAAUAAAAAAAAAUUUGAAUUUCGAGUUAAACGAAUCGAGUUAUUUGAAUCAACUCGAAUUUUUUUUUUGAAUUUCGAGUUCAAAUCGAGUUGAGUUUUCGAAUUCGAAUAACUCGAAUAAUUCGAAUAUCAAACUAUAAUAUUUUACAUUUUUACCCUAAACUCCCAAACCUUUUUAUUUUUCCCUCAAAACUUUUACUUCUUCCCACUUCCCCUCAAAACUUUUACUCCUCUCCCCUCCCAACCUCCCAAUCUACCCAAAAUUCAUUUCCCACCAAAAUUUUACUCUCUCAUUUACUUUUUCUCAAAAUUUUACUCCCAAAAACCCUCAAAACUUUUUAUUUUCCCCCAAAAUUUUUACUCCCUCCCACUUUUCUCCUAAAACUUUUAUUCUCUUCCCAUCCCACCUCCCAUCUACCCCAAGCCCUGCCCCCUCCAAUUUUUUUUAAUAUUUUCCCUCCAAAAUUUUACUCCCCUAUUUACUUUCCCUCAAACUUUUAUUCCUCAAAACUUUUUAUUUUCCUCCAAAACUUUUACUUCUCACCCUUUACUCUCAAAGAAAAAAUCAAAAUUAUCCAAAAAAAAAUCACUAAGCAUAAAUAGUAAUAAUUUUAUUUAUAUCUACUAUUUAUAUUAUUAAAUGAAAUUUCACAUUUUAUAUUAUUUAUAUUAUUGAAUUGUUUAGUCAUAUUGAAUAUUUAUAUUAAAAUUGAAUUAUUAAUUAUGCUAUAAAAUAUUCAUGUUAAAAUUUUAUAUUGGUAUCAAUUUCACAUUUUAUUUUUAAAAUAACUUUUAUUAAAAAAAUCAUAUUUUUACAUUUAAUAUAUUUUUUAAUUCCAAAAUACAUAGUGACAAGAAUCUGAAGAUAAUUGAAACAACUAAGCAAACAAAGAAGCUAACCAGUAUAUAAAAAAUUAAUAAAUAAAUUAUGAGGUGAUGAAAGUUAAUAAAAAAUUUGAUUAAGGUGGUCAAUUUUUAUUACGAUAGGUGACAAUAGUUACAAUGACCCAAAAUUAUUUUUUAAAAUUUAACUCGAACAAAUAUAUUUGAUUCGAUUCGAAUUCCAUUUCACUCGACUCGAUUCGAGAAAACUUCAAAUAAAGUUAGGAUGAUAAAACGAGAUUCGAAAACUCGAUUAACUCGAAAAUUUUCGAUUCAAUUCGAUUGGAUUCGAUCGAAUGCUCACCCCUAGAUAUGCUACUCCAAGCCUCUGCAAGUUGUCAAUCAUCUCAAGCUGUUCCAAUGGUUGGUCACCUAUCAUCAUCUUCUUCACUGUUCCUUUCAGCUCUUCAACUUGUCUUGUAUACUCAUCUCCCUGAAAUUCAAUAGUUUAGUAUCAAUGACACAAAAUUAUGAUGAACUGAUAAUGAUAAUCAUACCUUAUAAUUGCUGUUCAACAACUGCAGAUCAUCAUCAUUCCAAAGGCAAGGUUGAUAAUUCCCUGACCUCCUAUUGGUCCAUGAAUGAGAUAUUUUGGUGCUGGCCACAAAUGU